Molecule: long non-coding RNA, 530 nt
Organism: Aquila chrysaetos chrysaetos
Lineage: Eukaryota; Metazoa; Chordata; Aves; Accipitriformes; Accipitridae
Exons: 3
Source: RefSeq, a predicted model, not a curated record
CCUUUCCCUACUGUUAGAGGCAGGAAAUGAGUCUUGCUGCAUUGUGAAAAACACAUCACCCAUUUGCCAUACUGUAUAACUGAUCAGCAAUAGUGGGAAGAGCACACCCACCACACAGCGAUAGCUAAGACAGCACAGCAUUUAAAAGUGUGGGAGUAAUUACCCGUGUACAGUGACAGGGGUGUGGAGCAAUCUCAGCAUUGAGACCCCAUGAAUAUGAUGCUGGCAAUUCCACCAGUGGAGCUCUACGCCGGUGAUGCCAUGCCGGAGGGAAGACUGAAGGGAACAGACUGGACUGGCGACCGAUAAUAAUCUGUUGUGCAAAGCAGCACUGAAUCUUGGUGAACGGCUGCUCAGGCUGCCCUGUCUGGCACGGAGAGGGAGGCAGAGCCCUGGGGAGCAGCAAAAGUCCCAUGCCUCCUGCGAGCGGUUCUGCAGCCAGUCAGGGCUGCCCGCAUCAAAGCCCAGCCAGGAUCUGAGUGGGAAACAAAUUUUGUCAUGGCCUACCUUCCGAGUCCACCAGGUCUGAG